CGGUAAACCUUGGGUGGGUAAAUGUCGCUCGCACUCAUUAGGAAAAAAUUUACUUCAUCUCCACUAUAAAUAAGGGUGGGCAUGCACGGCAGCAAUGGAGCUUCACAUCACUGAGAUUGAAAGACAAAAAAAUUAGUCAUGAAGGAAUACAGAAGCCACGUAAUUUUGGUUCCAUAUCCCAGCCAAGGCCAUAUAAAUCCUCUUCUUCAAUUUGCAAAACGUUUGGUCUGUAAAGGCGUGAAGGCUACAUUAGCCACCACCCAGUACACCGUCAAGUCCAUUUGUGCACCGCACGUCCAAGUUGAGCCCAUCUCCGAUGGUUUCGAUGAAGGUGGGUUUGCUCAAGCUAAAAACGAGGACUUUUUCCUUAAGUCUUUUGCUACAAAUGGCUCAAAAACUUUGUCUCAACUCAUUAAAAAAUAUGAAAACUCUACUACCCCUGUUACUUGCAUUGUGUAUGACUCGUUUCUGCCUUGGGCUCUUGAUGUUGCCAAGCAACAUGGCUUGUAUGGAGCUGCGUUCUUUACGAAUUCAGCUGCUGUUUGCGCCAUUUUCUGUCGUAUACACCAUGGCUUAUUGACUCUACCUGUAAAGCCGGAAGACACUCCGUUGUCAAUACCUGGGUUGCCUCCGUUUAACUUCUCUGACUUGCCCACUUUUGUAAGGUUUCCAGAAAGUUACCCGGCGUAUUUAACCAUGAAAGUCAGUCAGUUCUCGAACUUGGAGAAGGCUGAUUGGAUAUUGUGUAAUACUUUUGAAGAAUUAGAAUGCCAGGAGGCGAGAAGCGUAUCAGAUCUAUGGCCGGGAAAGUUGAUAGGUCCGAUGGUGCCAUCGGCAUACUUGGACGGGCGGAUCAAAGGUGACAGAGGAUAUGGAUCGAGUCUGUGGAAGCCGUUUAGAGUAGAGUGCAUUGAGUGGCUGGAAACAAAGCCAAAGCAAUCAGUGGUGUACAUCUCUUUUGGCAGCAUGGUCUCACUGACAACAAAACAGAUGGAAGAGAUUGCUUUGGGAUUGAAAGAAAGCAAUUUGUAUUUCCUUUGGGUCAUCAGAGAAUCCCAAUCUGACAAAAUGCCAGAUGGGUUCACAGAGUCCACAAAAGAAAAGGGUCUAGUCGUGACAUGGUGCAACCAACUGGAAGUGUUGGCACACGAAGCAGUGGGUUGCUUCGUGACACAUUGCGGGUGGAACUCGACGCUUGAAGGGCUGAGCCUCGGCGUGCCAAUGGUGGGCAUGCCGCAAUGGGCUGAUCAGCUGCCUGACGCCAAGUAUGUGGAGGAAAAUUGGGAGGUGGGAGUUAGAGCUAAGGAGGAUGAAAAAGGGAUAGUGAGGAAAGAAGAAUUUGUCAAGUGUUUGAAGGAAGUGAUGGAAGGGGAGAGAAGCGAAGCAAUUAAGAGGAAUGCUAGUAAGUGGAAAAAGUCGGCAGAAGAAGCCAUUAGCGAAGGAGGGAGCUCUGAUAAGAACAUCAAUGAAUUUGUGGAGAGUUUGAUGCGUUCAAAUGGGAAAGCAAAGUAAUUGGACAGCCAUGAGGUGUAAUACAAAUUGAUUAAUGCCUCUUAUUUCCAUUUGCGUUGGUGACAGGUGAAGCGCACAAAGAAGCUGACAUUUUGAGAAGAAAAGUUCUACUAUCAUACGUAAGUGAAGUGCGGCUACGUGUCAAAUCGUGUAUGUAUUUCGAAUUAUAUAUUGUAAGAUACAACUUUUUC
Molecule: RNA transcript, 1703 nt
Organism: Pistacia vera
Lineage: Eukaryota; Viridiplantae; Streptophyta; Magnoliopsida; Sapindales; Anacardiaceae
Gene name: UDP-glycosyltransferase 74B1-like
Exons: 4
Source: RefSeq, a predicted model, not a curated record